RNAcentral lists this unclassified non-coding RNA (343 nucleotides) under soil metagenome. Its description in RNAcentral is "partial contains 5.8S ribosomal RNA, internal transcribed spacer 2, and large subunit ribosomal RNA". The stretch from base 1 to 120 matches the Rfam family "5.8S ribosomal RNA", at positions 35 to 154 of the family's 154-position model. The record is from RNAcentral.
GAUGAAGAACGUAGCGAAAUGCGAUACGUAAUGUGAAUUGCAGAAUUCAGUGAAUCAUCGAGUCUUUGAACGCACAUUGCGCCCCCUGGUAUUCCGGGGGGCAUGCCUGUCCGAGCGUCAUUGCUGCCCUCAAGCACGGCUUGUGUGUUGGGCCUCCGUCCUCCUCCCGGGGGACGGGCCCGAAAGGCAGCGGCGGCACCGCGUCCGGUCCUCGAGCGUAUGGGGCUUCGUCACCCGCUCUUUAGGCCCGGCCGGCGCUUGCCGACACAUCAAUCUUUUUUCCAGGUUGACCUCGGAUCAGGUAGGGAUACCCGCUGAACUUAAGCAUAUCAAUAAGGGAGGA